CCUACGGGCGGCAGCAGUGGGGAAUAUUGGACAAUGGGGGCAACCCUGAUCCAGCCAUGCCGCGUGUGUGAAGAAGGCCCUCGGGUUGUAAAGCACUUUCAGUGAGGAAGAACGCCUGGUGGUUAAUACCCAUCAGGAAAGACAUCACUCACAGAAGAAGCACCGGCUAACUCCGUGCCAGCAGCCGCGGUAAUACGGAGGGUGCGAGCGUUAAUCGGAAUUACUGGGCGUAAAGCGCGCGUAGGUGGCUUGAUAAGCCGGUUGUGAAAGCCCCGGGCUCAACCUGGGAACGGCAUCCGGAACUGUCAAGCUAGAGUGCAGGAGAGGAAGGUAGAAUUCCCGGUGUAGCGGUGAAAUGCGUAGAGAUCGGGAGGAAUACCAGUGGCGAAGGCGGCCUUCUGGACUGACGCUGACACUGAGGUGCGAAAGCGUGGGUAGCAAACAGGAUUAGAUACCCCUGUAGUC
This 465-nucleotide ribosomal RNA is filed under the name Vreelandella stevensii. Its description in RNAcentral is "partial 16S ribosomal RNA". It matches the Rfam family "Bacterial small subunit ribosomal RNA", at positions 338 to 795 of the family's 1533-position model. Lineage: Bacteria; Pseudomonadati; Pseudomonadota; Gammaproteobacteria; Oceanospirillales; Halomonadaceae. The record is from RNAcentral.